GACGAACGCUGGCGGCGUGCCUAAUACAUGCAAGUCGAACGCUGAAGGAGGAGCUUGCUCUUCUGGCUGAGUUGCGAACGGGUGAGUAACGCGUAGGUAACCUGCCUGGUAGCGGGGGAUAACUAUUGGAAACGAUAGCUAAUACCGCAUAACAGUAGAUGUUGCAUGACAUUUGCUUAAAAGGUGCAUUUGCACCACUACUAGAUGGACCUGCGUUGUAUUUGGUAGUUGGGGGGGUAACGGCUCACCAAGGCGACGAUACAUAGCCGACCUGAGAGGGUGAUCGGGCACACUGGGAAUGGAAAACGGGCCAGACUCCUACGGGAAGCAGCAGGAGGGGAACUUCGGCAAUGGACGGAAGGCUGACCGAGCAACGCCGGGUGGGGGAAGGAGGGUCUCGGGUCGGAAAACUCUGUUGUAAGGGAAGAACGAGUGGGAGAGUGGAAAGUUCACGCUGUGACGGUAUCUAACCAGAAAGGGACGGCUAACUACGUG
Molecule: ribosomal RNA, 495 nt
Filed under: uncultured bacterium
Lineage: Bacteria
Description: partial 16S ribosomal RNA
Rfam family: Bacterial small subunit ribosomal RNA
Source: RNAcentral